RNAcentral lists this ribosomal RNA (482 nucleotides) under uncultured bacterium. RNAcentral's name for it is "partial 16S ribosomal RNA". It matches the Rfam family "Bacterial small subunit ribosomal RNA", at positions 30 to 507 of the family's 1533-position model. The record is from RNAcentral.
AUUGAACGCUGGCGGCAUGCUUUACACAUGCAAGUCGAACGGUAACAGGCCGCAAGGUGCUGACGAGUGGCGAACGGGUGAGUAAUGCAUCGGCACGUGCCCAGUCGUGGGGGAUAACUACUCGAUAGAGUAGCUAAUACCGCAUACGAUCUAUGGAUGAAAGCGGGGGACCGUAAGGCCUCGCGCGAUUGGAGCGGCCGAUGUCAGAUUAGGUAGUUGGUGGGGUAAAGGCUCACCAAGCCAACGAUCUGUAGCUGGUCUGAGAGGACAACCAGCCACACUGGGACUGAGACACGGCCCAGACUCCUACGGGAGGCAGCAGUGGGGAAUUUUGGACAAUGGGCGCAAGCCUGAUCCAGCAAUGCCGCGUGCAGGAAGAAGGCCUUCGGGUUGUAAACUGCUUUUGUACGGAACGAAACGGCUCUGGUUAAUACCCGGAGCUAAUGACGGUACCGUAAGAAUAAGCACCGGCUAACUACGUG